CUACCAGCGCGACGAUCCGUAGCUGGACUGACAGGAUGACCAGCCACACUGGAACUGAGACACAGUCCAUACUCCUACGGGAGGCAGCAAUGGGGAAUAUUGGACAAUGGGGGCAACCCUGAUCCAGCAAUGCCGCGUGUGUGAAGAAGGCCUGAGGGUUGUAAAGCACUUUCAGUGGGGAGGAGGGUUGAUAGGUUAAGAGCUGAUUAACUGGACGUUACACACAGUAAGAAGCACCGGCUAACUCCGUGCCAGCAGCCGCGGUAAUACGGAGGGUGCAAGCGUUAAUCGGAAUUACUGGGCGUAAAGGGUGCGUAGGUGGUUGAUUAAGUUAUCUGUGAAAUUCCUGGGCUUAACCUGGGACGGUCAGAUAAUACUGGUUGACUCGAGUAUGGGAGAGGGGAGUGGAAUUUCCGGUGUAGCGCUGAAAUGCGUAUAGAACGCAAGGAACACCCCUGCGGAACGGGGGUACCUGGCGAACUACAGACACUUAGGCGCGAAAGCGUGGGGAGCACAAAGGA
This 521-nucleotide ribosomal RNA is filed under the name uncultured Legionella sp. RNAcentral's name for it is "bacterial SSU rRNA". It matches the Rfam family "Bacterial small subunit ribosomal RNA", at positions 265 to 777 of the family's 1533-position model. The record is from RNAcentral. Lineage: Bacteria; Pseudomonadati; Pseudomonadota; Gammaproteobacteria; Legionellales; Legionellaceae.